GUAUUUUGCGAUUGAUCCACAGGAAAUAGACGCAGCUGCGUGGAUCGCCUUCUCCACCCCACAUACUGAAGCCAGAAUAAGCCACGACUUCGUGUGCUCCACGCGAGGGCCGCCUGACGCCAGAGUUUCUCCCGCAUCUGCCAUCAGAGGACCGUCGCCCUCAGGAGCCCGAGCUCCCGCGGCUUCUCCGAAAUUGGAGUUCCAGAAGCCAUCCUUGGAUAACAUCUCUAUAAUCUCCUGGGAGAAUCCUUCUUCGAAGAAAUCCUCCAUCAGAGGAGAGUUCUUGGUCUCAGUCACAUCUGAAAGAGCAAGUGCAAAUGUCUCCUGUUCACUAAGGCUCCCAGGACAAGGGGAUGGAAGCCAGCGAGAAGCAGAGUGAAGUCCUGAAGCUGAGCGUUGUAAUGUCUCGGUAGACCUGUGGGAAAGCUGGCUGCAGCCUCAGGAUGGAGGUCUGGAAGACAGAAGCUUCCCCAAGGAAGGGAACAGAGUCACCAUCCAGGAGGGAUACAGGCCACAGCGG
Molecule: long non-coding RNA, 520 nt
Filed under: Homo sapiens (human)
Lineage: Eukaryota; Metazoa; Chordata; Mammalia; Primates; Hominidae
Description: HSALNT0398478
Source: RNAcentral